Long non-coding RNA from Haliotis rubra (blacklip abalone), 217 nucleotides. RefSeq lists it as uncharacterized. NCBI's taxonomy places the organism in Eukaryota, Metazoa, Mollusca, Gastropoda, Lepetellida, Haliotidae. The record is from RefSeq and is a predicted model, not a curated record. The transcript has 3 exons.
CGAACACUGGACAAUGCACCCAAAUGUCAUUCAUGUGCCAUUAGAUCACGAGCUGCGUCGUUUUCCUUCUUGUUACCCAUUAAAUACUGUUUGCUGAAUGAUUGCUUUUUACAAUAAAACAUUUAAUGUUACCAUAAUGUGCUUUUGUUUUGUUUUAGACCAGAAAAAUAUUUGGUGGCGGGUUUUUGGAUGCUAGUUUACAUACAUGCAUACACAC